Molecule: ribosomal RNA, 253 nt
Filed under: uncultured bacterium
Lineage: Bacteria
Description: partial 16S ribosomal RNA
Rfam family: Bacterial small subunit ribosomal RNA
Source: RNAcentral
UACGGAGGGAGCUAGCGUUGUUCGGAAUUACUGGGCGUAAAGCGCGCGUAGGCGGCUACUCAAGUCAGGGGUGAAAGCCCGGGGCUCAACCCCGGAACUGCCCUUGAAACUAGGUAGCUAGAAUCUUGGAGAGGUCAGUGGAAUUCCGAGUGUAGAGGUGAAAUUCGUAGAUAUUCGGAAGAACACCAGUGGCGAAGGCGACUGACUGGACAAGUAUUGACGCUGAGGUGCGAAAGCGUGGGGAGCAAACAGG